This 159-nucleotide ribosomal RNA is filed under the name Cranichis ciliilabia. Its description in RNAcentral is "5.8S ribosomal RNA". It matches the Rfam family "5.8S ribosomal RNA". Rfam says of the family: 5.8S ribosomal RNA (5.8S rRNA) is a component of the large subunit of the eukaryotic ribosome. It is transcribed by RNA polymerase I as part of the 45S precursor that also contains 18S and 28S rRNA. Functionally, it is thought that 5.8S rRNA may be involved in ribosome translocation. The record is from RNAcentral. Lineage: Eukaryota; Viridiplantae; Streptophyta; Magnoliopsida; Asparagales; Orchidaceae. RNAcentral also lists the same sequence under 4 other names.
UGACUCUCGGCAAUGGAUAUCUUGGCUCUUGCAUCGAUGAAGAGCGCAGCGAAAUGCGAUACGUGGUGUGAAUUGCAGAAUCCCGUGAACCAUCGAGUUUUUGAACGCAAGUUGCGCCCGAGGCCAAUUGGUUGAGGGCACGUCCGCCUGGGCGUCAAG